RNAcentral lists this ribosomal RNA (435 nucleotides) under uncultured bacterium. RNAcentral describes it as "partial 16S ribosomal RNA". It matches the Rfam family "Bacterial small subunit ribosomal RNA", at positions 28 to 507 of the family's 1533-position model. The record is from RNAcentral.
AGCGAACGCUGGCGGCAGGCUUAACACAUGCAAGUCGAGCGGGCACUUUCGGGGUUUUGCGUCGGUCGGGUGGGGAACGCGCGGGGACGGGCGCGCUGGUUCGGAAUACCUAAGCGAGAGUUGAGCUAAUACCGGAUACGCCCUAGUGGCGGAAGGCUUGUAGGCGGAGCAUCGGCCCGCGUUUGAUUAGCUUGCCGGCGAGGUAGCGCAUCACCAAGGCGACGAUUAGUAGCUGGUCUGGGAGGAUGGUCCGCCACACUGGGCCUGGGACACGGCCCGGACUCCUCCGGGAGGCAGCAGUGGGGAAUAUUGGACGCGGGGCGCAGGCCUGCGCCAGCCAUGCCGCGUGAGUCAUGUAGGCGUGAGGGUUGUAAUGCUGUUUUAUCCGGGACGGUAAUGACGGUACCGGAGCAGUAAGCCCCGGCUAACUUCGUG